GUGGAUCUGACAUCGAGUGGAAAUAUACGUUUCUUGGAUUUCAUUAAAGUACAUCGGUUUUUGUUUGAAGAUGAAUGAGAGAACAUGAGGCACAGCGGCAUUCAAAUUGACCAAUCAGAGCCGAGAAUAUCUAAUAAGUAGAAGUAGAGAUGAACAGAUGAAGAUACAGCCCGUAAAAAUACUUAUUCUUGGUGAGUGCCAUGUAGCGACGGAUCAAACGGACACUCAUGUCAAGCUUGAUGAGGACACAGUCAAAGCUUUAAAAGACCUUGUGAUUAAGUCUUCAGUGUCUGAAUGGCAAGAAGAAGUG
Molecule: non-coding RNA, 310 nt
Organism: Paramisgurnus dabryanus
Lineage: Eukaryota; Metazoa; Chordata; Actinopteri; Cypriniformes; Cobitidae
Source: RefSeq, a predicted model, not a curated record